This 467-nucleotide ribosomal RNA is filed under the name uncultured bacterium. RNAcentral describes it as "partial 16S ribosomal RNA". It matches the Rfam family "Bacterial small subunit ribosomal RNA", at positions 28 to 507 of the family's 1533-position model. The record is from RNAcentral.
GACGAACGCUGGCGGCGUGCUUAACACAUGCAAGUCGAACGGAAAGGCCCCAGCUUGCUGGAGUACUCGAGUGGCGAACGGGUGAGUAACACGUGGGUAAUCUGCCCUGCACUCUGGGAUAAGCCUGGGAAACUGGGUCUAAUACUGGAUAUGACCUUUCUCCUUAUGGGGUUUGGUGGAAAGUUUUUCGGUGUAGGAUGAGCCCGCGGCCUAUCAGCUUGUUGGUGGGGUGAUGGCCUACCAAGGCGACGACGGGUAGCCGGCCUGAGAGGGUGAUCGGCCACAUUGGGACUGAGAUACGGCCCAGACUCCUACGGGAGGCAGCAGUGGGGAAUAUUGCACAAUGGGCGGAAGCCUGAUGCAGCGACGCCGCGUGAGGGAUGACGGCCUUCGGGUUGUAAACCUCUUUCAGCAGGGACGAAGCGUAAGUGACGGUACCUGCAGAAGAAGCACCGGCUAACUAUGUG